Molecule: ribosomal RNA, 250 nt
Filed under: uncultured bacterium
Lineage: Bacteria
Description: partial 16S ribosomal RNA
Rfam family: Bacterial small subunit ribosomal RNA
Source: RNAcentral
UGCCUACGGGGGGCAGCAGUAGGGAAUCUUCCACAAUGGACGAAAGUCUGAUGGAGCAACGCCGCGUGAGUGAAGAAGGGUUUCGGCUCGUAAAGCUCUGUUGGUAGUGAAGAAAGAUAGAGGUAGGAACUGGCCUUUAUUUGACGGGAAUUACUUAGAAAGUCACGGCUAAAUACGUGCCAGCAGCCGCGGUAAUACGUAGGUGGCAAGCGGUGUCCGGGUUUAAUGGGCGUAAAGCGAGUGCAGGCGG